This 333-nucleotide ribosomal RNA is filed under the name uncultured Flavobacterium sp. RNAcentral's name for it is "bacterial SSU rRNA". It matches the Rfam family "Bacterial small subunit ribosomal RNA", at positions 504 to 836 of the family's 1533-position model. Lineage: Bacteria; Pseudomonadati; Bacteroidota; Flavobacteriia; Flavobacteriales; Flavobacteriaceae. The record is from RNAcentral.
CGUGCCAGCAGCCGCGGUAAUACGGAGGAUCCAAGCGUUAUCCGGAAUCAUUGGGUUUAAAGGGUCCGUAGGCGGUUUAGUAAGUCAGUGGUGAAAGCCCAUCGCUCAACGGUGGAACGGCCAUUGAUACUGCUAGACUUGAAUUAUUAGGAAGUAACUAGAAUAUGUAGUGUAGCGGUGAAAUGCUUAGAGAUUACAUGGAAUACCAAUUGCGAAGGCAGGUUACUACUAAUUGAUUGACGCUGAUGGACGAAAGCGUGGGUAGCGAACAGGAAUAGAUACCCUGGUAGUCCACGCCGUAAACGAUGGAUACUAGCUGUUGGGGGCAACUUC